CUUUCUCCACUUUUAGAGUUUUUUUUAAUGUUUUUUCCACUUUUAGCGUUUUUUCUCCCUUUUAUGUUUUAUUUUAUAAUUAAAAUUGCACUUUUUAUUUUUUAUUUAUUUAUUUUCGAAUUUUUUAUUAUUUUAUUAUUUAUAAUUAUUAUAUUAUUGAUUUUUCAUGAUUUUUAGUCUAAAAAUCAAGGAAAAUCAAUAUAAAAUAAGAAAAAGUCAAAGUUCUUUUACCAUUACAUUUAUCAUAUUUUUUUAUUUUUUUAUAUAUUAAAAUUAAUUUUUAUUUCAAUUUUUUCACAAAGUCAUGAAUCCAUCCAGAUUCAUUGGAUUAACCUUUGAGAAAUAUAUAAAAUCAGGUCAAAUAAAAUCAUUCAAAAACUAUUAAAAAAUUAUUCAAAUCUCA
Molecule: long non-coding RNA, 403 nt
Filed under: Lathyrus oleraceus (garden pea)
Lineage: Eukaryota; Viridiplantae; Streptophyta; Magnoliopsida; Fabales; Fabaceae
Description: Pisum sativum (pea) long non-coding RNA (PSAT_LNC007873)
Source: RNAcentral